Molecule: ribosomal RNA, 468 nt
Filed under: uncultured bacterium
Lineage: Bacteria
Description: partial 16S ribosomal RNA
Rfam family: Bacterial small subunit ribosomal RNA
Source: RNAcentral
GACGAACGCUGGCGGCGUGCUUAACACAUGCAAGUCGAACGGAAAGGCCCUGCUUUUGUGGGGUGCUCGAGUGGCGAACGGGUGAGUAACACGUGAGUAACCUGCCCUUGACUUUGGGGUAACUUCAGGAAACUGGGGCUAAUACCGGAUAGGAGCUCCUGCUGCAUGGUGGGGGUUGGAAAGUCUCGGCGGUUGGGGAUGGACUGGCGGCUUAUCAGCUUGUUGGUGGGGUAGUGGCUUACCAAGGCUGUGACGGGUAGGCGGCCGGGGAGGGUGACCGGCCACAUUGGGACUAAGAUACGGCCCAGACUCCUACGGGAGGCAGCAGUGGGGAAUCUUGCCCAAUGGGCGGAAGCCUGAUGCAGCAACGCCGCGUGCGGGAUGACGGCCUUCGGGUUGUGAACCGCUUUCGCCUGUGACGAAGCGUGAGUGACGGUAAUGGGUAAAGAAGCACCGGCUAACUACGUG